Molecule: non-coding RNA, 115 nt
Organism: Triticum aestivum (bread wheat)
Lineage: Eukaryota; Viridiplantae; Streptophyta; Magnoliopsida; Poales; Poaceae
Source: Rfam
CUUGUACUCCCUCCGUCCGAAAAUACUUGUCAUUGAAAUGGAUGUAUCUAGAUGUAUUUUAGUUCUAGACACAUCCAUUUUGAUGACAAGUCAUUCCGAACGGAGGGAGUAGUUG